This 400-nucleotide ribosomal RNA is filed under the name uncultured bacterium. RNAcentral's name for it is "bacterial SSU rRNA". It matches the Rfam family "Bacterial small subunit ribosomal RNA", at positions 975 to 1374 of the family's 1533-position model. The record is from RNAcentral.
CUACCCUUGACAUGCCAGGAACUUUCCAGAGAUGGAUUGGUGCCCGAAAGGGAACCUGGACACAGGUGCUGCAUGGCUGUCGUCAGCUCGUGUCGUGAGAUGUUGGGUUAAGUCCCGCAACGAGCGCAACCCUUGUCAUUAAUUGCCAUCAUUUAGUUGGGCACUUUAAUGAGACUGCCGGUGAUAAACCGGAGGAAGGUGGGGAUGACGUCAAGUCCUCAUGGCCCUUAUGGGUAGGGCUUCACACGUAAUACAAUGGUCGGUACAGAGGGUCGCCAACCCGCGAGGGGGAGCCAAUCUCAGAAAGCCGAUCGUAGUCCGGAUUGUUCUCUGCAACUCGAGAGCAUGAAGUCGGAAUCGCUAGUAACCGCGGAUCAGCAUGUCGCGGUGAAUACGUUCC